This 777-nucleotide long non-coding RNA is filed under the name Cricetulus griseus (Chinese hamster). RNAcentral's name for it is "lncRNA (ENSCGRG00000025761.1)". The record is from RNAcentral. Lineage: Eukaryota; Metazoa; Chordata; Mammalia; Rodentia; Cricetidae.
UUGAGUAUGGUGGGUCUCGUUUCAAACAGAAGGAGAAGUGAAGAUGUAUUCUGAUGGGAGAUAUCAUUCUGUAAAUAUGUUUUUUUAUUGGUUAAUGAAUAAAACACUGUUGGCCAAAAGGGCAGCAAGAUAGGUGGGACCAGGAUAUGAGGAGGAUUCUGGGAAAUGAAGGCAGAGAGGAAUCGUCAUGUGACCCCAGGAAGUGAUGUGGUUGGGCAGAAUCAGUAUAAGCAGGACAAACAGGAAAUGGCUCUCUCUUCUCUGCGGAGACUCUGAACAGUUGAGAUGUAAGACAACAGAGGAGUAAGAGGUCCCUGGACCCUUUCACUAGUAAGAUCCACAGGAAGUUGAAUACGUCACACACAUCUACAACCCUGAAGAUCCCAAGUCAAGAUGUGAGAUGGAGACAGAAUUUCCAGCAUUUCAAAGGCCAGUUUUCCAUGUGCAUGCAGCAGCCAAUAAAUAAGUUGUCCUCAAACCAGGAGGAAGUCUCUGCCUCUUCAAAGAUCUUUCUUACUUCUCCACAUACCCACAUAAAUGUGGAUGGAAACAAACUAAAAAUCAACAUAGACAAACCAGGAAAGAGGACGAGGAGGAGCUGGAGGAGGAGGAGGAAGAGGAGGAGGAGGAGGACGAGGAGGACGAGGAGGACGAGGAGGACGAGGAGGACGAGGACGAGGAUGAGGAGACAAAGAACCUUGAUACAAGAUUAUGAGACAUAACAUCCUCAGGGAAGCCAUGGGUUGUCCUGCUGGAGAAAAAAAUUAAAAUAAAAAC